This 274-nucleotide ribosomal RNA is filed under the name uncultured bacterium. RNAcentral's name for it is "partial 16S ribosomal RNA". It matches the Rfam family "Bacterial small subunit ribosomal RNA", at positions 523 to 796 of the family's 1533-position model. The record is from RNAcentral.
AUACAGAGGGUGCAAGCGUUAAUCGGAUUUACUGGGCGUAAAGCGCGCGUAGGCGGCUAAUUAAGUCAAAUGUGAAAUCCCCGAGCUUAACUUGGGAAUUGCAUUCGAUACUGGUUAGCUAGAGUGUGGGAGAGGAUGGUAGAAUUCCAGGUGUAGCGGUGAAAUGCGUAGAGAUCUGGAGGAAUACCGAUGGCGAAGGCAGCCAUCUGGCCUAACACUGACGCUGAGGUGCGAAAGCAUGGGGAGCAAACAGGAUUAGAUACCCCGGUAGUCC